AUACGGAGGGUGCAAGCGUUAUCCGGAAUCAUUGGGUUUAAAGGGUCCGUAGGCGGACUAUUAAGUCAGAGGUGAAAUCCCACAGCUCAACUGUGGAACUGCCUUUGAUACUGGUAGUCUUGAGUUAUAUGGAAGUAGAUAGAAUGUGUAGUGUAGCGGUGAAAUGCAUAGAUAUUACACAGAAUACCGAUUGCGAAGGCAGUCUACUACGUAUAUACUGACGCUAAGGGACGAAAGCGUGGGGAGCGAACAGGAUUAGAUACCCUAGUAGUCC
RNAcentral lists this ribosomal RNA (274 nucleotides) under uncultured bacterium. RNAcentral describes it as "partial 16S ribosomal RNA". It matches the Rfam family "Bacterial small subunit ribosomal RNA", at positions 523 to 796 of the family's 1533-position model. The record is from RNAcentral.